GAUCUCUUUGAGGCCCGUUAUCGGAAUGAGAACAAUUCAAAUCCUUUAACGAGGAUCUAGCGGAGGGCAAGUCUGGUGCCAGCAGCCGCGGUAAUUCCAGCUCCGCAGGUGUAUAUCUAUGCUGCUGCGGUUAAAAAGCUCGUAGUUGGAUCUGCGUGCUCGGAACUGGUUGGCUCACUGAGUUCAAACUGGUCUCCGGCGCUUUAUUGGCUGGUUUUCCCUUGAUGCUCUUAACCGGGUGUCUUGGGUGGCUAGCACGUUUACUUUGAAAAAAUUAGAGUGCUCAAUACAGGCGUAAAGCCUUGAAUAGUGGUGCAUGGAAUAAUAGAAUAGGACCUCGGCUCUAUUUUGUUGGUUUUCGGAACGCGAGGUAAUGAUUAAGAGGGACAGACGGGGGCAUUCGUAUUGCGACGUUAGAGGUGAAAUUCUUGGAUCGUCGCAAGACGGACGACUGCGAAAGCAUUUGCCAAGAAUGUUUUCAUUAAUCAAGAACGAAAGUUAGAGGUUCGAAGGCGAUCAGAUACCGCCCUAGUUCUAACCGUAAACGAUGCCAACUAGCGAUUCGCAGGCGUUAAACAACGACCUUGCGGGCAGCUUCCCGGAAACGAAAGUGUUCGGGUUCCGGGGGAAGUAUGGUUGCAAAGCUGAAACUUAAAGGAAUUGACGGAAGGGCACCACCAGGAGUGGAGCCUGCGGCUUAAUUUGACCCAACACGGGAAAACUCACCCGGCCCGGACACCGUAAGGAUUGACAGAUUAGAGCUCUUUCUUGAUUCGGUGGGUGGUGGUGCAUGGCCGUUCUUAGUUGGUGGAGCGAUUUGUCUGGUUUAUUCCGAUAACGAACGAGACUCUGGCCUACUAAAUAGUGGGCGGAUUCUUUCUGUCCGCAACACUUCUUAGAGGGACAAGCGGUGUUCAGCCGCACGAGAUUGAGCAAUAACAGGUCUGUGAUGCCCUUAGAUGUCCGGGGCUGCACGCGCGCUACACUGAAGGAAUCAGCGUGCUUUCUGACCUUGCCCGAAAGGGCUGGGUAACCCGAUGAAAAUCCUUCGUGAUUGGGAUAGGGACUUGCAAUUAUUUCCCUUGAACGAGGAAUUCCCAGUAAGUGUGGGUCAUAAGCUCGCGUUGAUUACGUCCCUGCCCUUUGUACACACCGCCCGUCGCUGCCCGGAACUGAGCCGUUUCGAGAAGAACAGGGACCGUCGUUGAAGGGCCUUAACGGGCUUUUCUCUGAUAGAAACUGUU
This 1244-nucleotide ribosomal RNA is filed under the name metagenome. RNAcentral's name for it is "SSU rRNA". It matches the Rfam family "Eukaryotic small subunit ribosomal RNA", at positions 488 to 1758 of the family's 1831-position model. The record is from RNAcentral.